CCUCGGUCCUGGUCGAAUGUUACAAACAGAACAGCUGGAGAAUAUAGGUUACACAGAUUCAGAAAACAGUCAGCAACUAGGUUACACAGAUCCAGAAAACAGUCAGACACUAGGUUCACAAGAUCCAGAAAACAGUCAGCCAACUAGGCUACACAGAUCCGAAAACAGUCACAACUAGGUUACACAGAUCCGAAAACAGUCAGCCAACUAGGUUACACAGAUCCGAAAACAGUCAGCCAACUAGGUUACACAGAUCCGAAAACAGUCAGCCAACUAGGUUACGCAGAUCCGAAAACAGUCAGCAACUAGGUUACGCAGAUCGAAAACAGUCAGUCAACUAGGUUACGCAGAUCCGAAAACAGUCAGACCACUAGGUUACCAGAUCCAGAAACAGUAAGCCAUCUAGGUUACCAGCUCAGAAAACAGUCAGCCAACUAGGUUACGCAGAUCCGAAAACAGUCAGACAACUAGGUUACGCAGAUCCAGAAACAGUCAGCCAACUAGGUUACACAGAUCCGAAAACAGUCAGCCAACUAGGUUACACAGAUCCAGAAAACAGUCAGCCAACUAGGUUACACAGAUCCGAAAACAGUCAGCCAACUAGGUUACACAGAUCCAGAAAACAGUCAGCCAACUAGGUUACACAGAUCGAAAACAGUCAGCCAACUAGGUUACACAGAUCCAGAAAACAGUCAGCCAACUACAGUCAGCUCAAUAAGGGGCCAUCAGCACCCUCCUUGAAACAUGUGGAACGUGAUGCCUCUUCUGUGGCUUUGUAGGUUACACACCCCAAAAACAGUCGGUCAAAUAGAGUCAGACCAAAUGACCACAGUGGCCAUGUACCAAGCUGGCCAACCACUGGCUGCCUGCCUUAAUAAAGUCCCAGGCCUCUACUGUACAUACAACUGUCUGAGGAGGCAUAUUGGAUGCAAUAUCAUUGCUCACAUUGCUUUUGA
Salvelinus sp. IW2-2015 is the source of this 956-nucleotide non-coding RNA. NCBI's taxonomy places the organism in Eukaryota, Metazoa, Chordata, Actinopteri, Salmoniformes, Salmonidae. The record is from RefSeq and is a predicted model, not a curated record.